GCUCCGGUAGCCUAGUGGUAGAGCGUCUGCCUUGGAUGCAAAAGAUCGUGAAUUCGAAUCCCGACGGAAUCA
Potamilus streckersoni is the source of this 72-nucleotide non-coding RNA. The record is from the annotation of a GenBank genome assembly. Lineage: Eukaryota; Metazoa; Mollusca; Bivalvia; Unionida; Unionidae.